RNAcentral lists this unclassified non-coding RNA (385 nucleotides) under Hevea brasiliensis (rubber tree). Lineage: Eukaryota; Viridiplantae; Streptophyta; Magnoliopsida; Malpighiales; Euphorbiaceae. The record is from RNAcentral.
AGAGCAGGAGUAUUAUCUACAGCCCGUGGAGCCUGGCAGUUCGCACAAUGCUACAGCAAUCUGCCCUGUCGAUUUUUCUUUUGGGGGUGAUCAUAUGUGGGACAGGUUCAGUGUUUUCGUCUUGUUUAGUGAUGGCUCAGUUUACAUCUUAUGUCCUGUUGUUCCAUUUGGAAGUGUGUACAAAUGGGAAUCUGUACUUGAGUUAUAUAGUGAUGCUCAAAUGUUUGGUCUGAAAUCAGCGAAUUCAAAAGCUGUGAAAAACUCAAAUUUGGCAAUCUCUUGGUUGGGAGCAACAUUUCCUGAACUAAAUCGGGAAGAAGUUCAUGCAGAAAAUGCUGCUGUUCUUAGAGCUCAACCUUAUGCUUUAUUUGAUUCUUCAAUCUCA